GAAUAGGUAGACAAUGACUCAGAAACACAAAUAGAAGCCGGAGGGCGGAGACCUCAUUGGUCAAACCGGCCGUCGGCAUCGAAUAUCUCUUUAUUUUGCUCAAUCGCCAAAUCCAACGAUUGGAAUGCGAACAAGGUCCAUCACUUUCUGAUCAAAGUCAGUUCAAUUUCACUUGCAUUUAUACAUGUUCAUUUUCGGAUUUUGAACAGUUAAACUCAAUGAAUUGGUGGCAGUUGCAGAUUAAAAUAUUGAUACGUCUUUCAUCAGAACUGUGAUCAUGUAAAACAAGACGAAUAUUGCUGAAAUUAAGCUGGCGGAUUAAGUCUUUCCCUCACAAUAGUUACUUGAAGUUUUUCUUAGGUAAAUUUUCGGCUAAACAUCUCUAAGCGGAGGGUAUAGUUCUUAGAAGUUACAGUUCAAGUUAUUGUUUCACGGGUUCAAAUCUGAAUUGCUUUCUACUACUUUUGGUAUACUUAAACCUAUCUUGCUCGCCUAUUAACCAUGUGAAGCAAAAAAAAUAAAAAAUGGUAAUUGUGCUCCAAGAUGCAUUGCUAAUUUAUGCUCUUCUUAAUCUAGUUGAUGAGUCAAUGUUUCAAUAACAGAUUCUCUUCUGAUAACUGUGUUGUGCGUACUUUCGAAAAUGAUGUCGUACCCGUAUCGGAUCCUCCAAAAAUACACUAUUUUGGAGGAUCCGACAAACACCCGGCAAUAUUUUCGGAGAGUCCGGACAACAUAGUCUGAUAAUGGGUACCUGAUGUUAGAGACUCUUUCGAUAGUCUGGUAAUAGUGGUGAGUGCAGUGGAUAUAUGCUUACUAUCUGUUUGAAGAAAGCUGGGUUGACAAUUCAAGGUCUAAGAAUCAAUAUGCUCUGUUAACACUUAGCAGCUGAACACUUUGUAGUAUUACCGUUACCCUCGUGGAACUUAUGCCAUAUUGCUCAUUCCUUAUGCUGAGCUAUAUUCUUGCUUUAAAAUAUCAUUUGCUCUUUUUACCUUUUUUGGUCAGGAGCAGGAUACUGGGGACAACUUUUUUCUUUGACUGUCUAGGAAUAUGGACAAAACACAUGCAUCUGAAAACUCGCAAAUGCCUUUUGUAGUUCUGUCUCAGUAAGAAGUUUGUAAGGUGUCACGAAAGUAUUUCUUGUGUAUAACAAUAGCAAAACUGUGAAUUCAAGCUAGCAAGUCGGAUUUUGUUAAAAGCACUCUUUGACACACUUGACAUAGUAACAACAUUAAGAAACGAGGUCCCACAGACUGAAGGGAUAUAAUUACUGAAUGGAUACGAUUGUGGCUAACACCUGAACCAUAGAAGGAGCAUUUUCUAUGAGAGUACGAAACCACUAGCCAUUUGACCUAAUUCAUGACAAGCUUACCAUGAGAGGGUGGAACGCUGGAGAAUGAUUCAAAUUCCUACAGGCCAAGGGAUUAGUUGAAUGCAUAAAUUAUGCAG
This 1449-nucleotide long non-coding RNA is filed under the name Nicotiana benthamiana. Its description in RNAcentral is "long non-coding RNA (NBEN_LNC011983)". Lineage: Eukaryota; Viridiplantae; Streptophyta; Magnoliopsida; Solanales; Solanaceae. The record is from RNAcentral.